UCGCCAGCACCCGCGGAUCCGGCCGCCCCUCACCUUCCCCAUGGGCUGCACCUCCCAGCGCCGCCGCCCCUGCCAAGCUCCGCCGCUGGAGGAUGAAAUUCUGUCAAUGUCCAUUGUCUUCAAGUAAUUGAUUCGAGUAAUACUGUAAGGUCUGUCAAUGUAUACUAUGUCUUCAAGUAAUCAAUGUUGCUAGAAUACUUACUGUCUGUCAGGCCUGCAUCUUCAGUUAGCAUAGGAACCCCUUCUUCAGUUAUCGUCCGGCCCAGAUUCAUCCUCGUCCUGACGAUCCGACGGCUCGUGAUGCUCACCGUCUCACUGUACCGUUUCGGUUGUAAUCCCGUAGCGUUUCAUUCACGCCACUGUAGCCGUCACCCUGUGCUAGCUGGGUUAUAAAGCUCGCUCCCAACGUCUUGUAAGCCAUCGAUUAUUGCCUAGGCCAAUUUAUAAAUCAAACAUAUAUCUUACAGUAAUACUACAACCCUAGCGGGCGCCUACUUUCCCCUCCUGAUUUCGUGAUCUAGAUCGAAUCCACCAUAGUUUCUCACAUCAGGGUGUGACAAUUGGUAUCAUGAGCGUAGGUUUUCCUCGACGUCGCAGCAGAUCAAGGCCGCGGCGGUGAUUUCCCACCCUUUCCUCCCUCUUUCAUCGAUGGCGACGGUAUCGGUGGCGUUGGCGGCGGUGACGGCGGCGCUGGUGGCGGUAGACCAAUUCGUUGGCAGCGCGUUAAGCUUGACUGGUUGUUUGAGCAAAUGGCUCACUCGAUAAAAUCCCAGAUCGGCGGCGUGCGGUGCUGUUCUGUUGAUGAUCUCGAGCAGCGGCGGCAGGGUGAGUAUUCAGAUCUGGUUUCCGGGCAAGUCUCGAAGGUAAAAUUCCUUUCUGAAGCACUCAGCUGCGAUGGGGCGCGGCAAGGCCAGUCUUGACGAGUCGGAAAUCGCCGAACUCCUUGCCAUGAAGGGCGAGUUCCUGCAGCACCGUGACGAAACUGCGGAGCUGCGUGGUGAAGUCGAUGAUCUCCGGAAGGACGUGUACGGCAUCGGCCUCAAACAGGACAACAUGGUGUCGGUGAUGGAUGGGGUCCAAAAAGUUGUCUCCUCGUUGAACACUUAGCUCACAACCAUGGCAGAUGUACUCAAAGCAUUGUCGGCUCCGGGGGCCUCGACAUCUUCACCUCUGGGCCAACCAGUUCCGGAUGACAGAGGACAGGCCACUCACUGAAGAACUCCGAAAAAGACUGGCCAUGGAACAGGAAAAAACCCGACAGGUAGCGUCCCAAAUCCCUUCUCACCUGGCACCCAUUCAAGUGCCUAGACACUCACCUCCCCCAGGGUUCGGAACUAACCAGACUCUAGAGAUCCACUCGGCCAAUGGAACACCAACAGCAGCAUACAAGACCGCCCGAACUCCUGGAUUUCAUGGAUUUCAGCCACCAGGUGUUCGUCAGAGUUGGGAUGACUUUCAGAAACAGUAUGAGCAAGACAUGCGCACCCAGUUCCUCAAGAGCAUCACAGAAGGACCACGUAUGGAUUUUCCUCGAUUCGAUGGCGACAAUCCAUCGGGCUGGAUACGACAGUGUGAAAAGUACUUCCAAAUGGCCGGCGCUCCAGUGGAGUACAGAGUUAACUUGGCACAAUUAUAUGUUGUGGGCAGAGCGGAUGUGUGGCUAUGCCGAUCGGGCAUCCUCAAGAAGCAACCAACAUGGGCACAAUUCACUGAAGAAAUCAUGCGCCGUUUCUCCUCUGCUAGUUCUUACGAACUAACCGAAAGGUUCAACAACCUGAAGCAAGGCACCUCGUCAGUGUCUGACUACACUGACCAGUUUGAGGAACUGAUGGCUGAAAUUCAAACUGAUAAUCCAAUAAUGGACGAACAGUGGUUUGUCAAAUGCUAUGUCAAUGGGCUCCGUUCACAGAUCAAGUUUCAGCUCAGAUCUCUGAGACCUACCAACCUCACAGAAGCCUAUUGGCUGGCCGUGGAUAUGGAGAAAGGCACAGCUGAAAAGAAAGCACUUCAAACCCACACUAGCACCAGUAAAGGCUAUCCUGGUUUUCACAAAACCUAUAGCCCAGCAACUGAAAAAGCUGCAGAUCCCAAACCAACUGUAGUGAACCAAAGAGCCAGAGAACCUGGCAAGUGCUGGAGAUGUGGGGAUGCUUAGUUCCACGGACAUAAGUGCAAACUUGCUCCUGCACUGAAUGUUUUAACAGGUGACGAGCCUAUUGAACAACAGAAGGAACCAGAUGAGUUGGAGGAACAAGACGAAACAGAACAGCCCCAGACUGAAGAACAAUGUAUGACCAUAUCUGCUCAAGCCAUGCAUUCAGAUAAUGUGAACACCAUUUCUAUUCUGGUGCAAAUAGGGGGCAAACAGGGCAUUGCUCUAGUGGACUCAGGCAGUAACUCCACUUUUAUAAGCCUAAAAUUUGCUCUGACAACCUCUUGCAACAUACUCAAGGACACUAACCGUGCUGUUACAGUUGCUAGAGGGGGAACAAUGUGGUCUGGCUCCUAUAUACCCCCAACCACUUUCAUUGCAGGCCACACCAAAUUCAUUCAGCAAUUUAGAGUGUUGGAUCUAACUGGACAUGAUAUGGUGUUAGGCAGUGACUGGAUGGCACAACACAGCCCGGUGGCUUUCCACUACAACCCCAGACAAAUCACAAUCAUGCAGAACAAGAGCAUUCCUGUUACAAUCAGAGCUUGUGACACUCUGUCUGACGCCACUAUAAUUGAAGCUGCAGAAGUGGACAAUUUACUAUCGUCAGGAGCUCCUGGUUUUGUAUUGCAACUUAUCAGGGACACCACUAUAACCAAACCUGAGAAACAAGAACUUCCACAACCUAUAGAAGAAGUUUUGCAGAAAUUCCCUGAAGUUUUUCAAGAGCCAAAAGGCCUGCCCCCCAAAAGAUCUCAUGAUCACAAAAUACCACUCAAAGAAAAAGCAAAACCUCCAAAUUCUAGGCCCUAUAGAGUACCUCACAUGCAGAAGAAUGAGUUGGAAAGGCAAAUUGAUGCAAUGCUCAGAGAUAAAAUAAUCAGGGCUAGUGAAAGUCCCUACUCCUCCCCAGCAAUCUUAGUCAUGAAAAAAGAUGGCACUUGGAGGAUGUGCAUUGACUAUAGGAAGCUCAAUGAGGCCACAGUGAAAAACAAGUUUCCCAUCCCUAUAAUUGAAGACUUACUGGAUGAAUUACAUGGAGCAACUUAUUUCACUAAAUUGGAUCUCAGGUCUGGUUACCAUCAAGUGAGAAUGGAUGAAAAAGAUAUACCUAAGACUGCAUUCAGAACAUAUUUUGGGCAUUAUGAGUUCCUAGUGAUGCCAUUUGGGCUGGCUAAUGCACCUGGUACAUUCCAAGCCCUCAUGAACAGUAUCUUUGGCCCAUACCUGAGGAAGUUUGUACUAGUUUUCUUUGAUGACAUUUUGAUAUUCAGUAAAUCACUAUCAGAACACAUUGAACACCUCCAGAUAGUGUUACAGCUUCUCAAAGAACAUCAACUAUAUGCCAAACUCUCCAAGUGUACUUUUGCAGUUACACAAGUAGACUACUUGGGCCAUGUUAUUUCUGCUAAAGGAGUUUCUACUGAUCCCUCUAAAGUGGCAGCAGUGGUGGAGUGGCCUAUUCCCACCACACCCAAACAACUCAGAGGAUUCUUGGGCCUCUGUGGAUACUAUAGAAGAUUUGUUCAGCAUUUUGGAACAAUAGCUAGGCCUUUGCUGUUGGGGAACGUAGUAAUUUCAAAAAAAUUCCUACGCACACGCAAGAACAUGGUGAUGGCAUAGCAACGAGAGGGGAGAGUGAUGUCCACGUACCCUCGUAGACAGCAAACGGAAGCAUUAACACAACGCGGUUGAUGUAGUCAUACGUCUUCACGAUCCGACCGAUCCAAGUACCGAACGUACGGCACCUCCGAGUUCAGCACACGGUUCAGCUCGAUGACGAUCCCCGGGCUCCGAUCCAGCAAAGCUUCGGGGAUGAGUUCCGUCAGCACAACGGCGUGGUGACGAUGAUGAUGUUCUACCGGUGCAGGGCUUCGCCUAAACUCCGCGACGAUAUGACCGAGGUGGAAUAUGAUGGAGGGGGGCACCGCACACGGCUAAGGAACAAUCCGUAGAUCAACUUGUGUGUUAUGGGGUGCCCCCCUGCCCCCGUAUAUAAAGGAGCAAGGGGGAGGGGGCGGCCGGCCAAGGGAGGGCGCGCCAGGGAGGAGUCUACUCCCACCGGGAGUAGGACUCCCUCCUUUCCUAGUCCAACUAGGAGACCUUCCAUGUAGUAGGAGUAGGAGAGAAGGAAAGGGAAGAGAGAAGGGAAGGAAGGAGGGGGUGCGGCCCCUCCCCCUAGUCCAAUUCGGACUAGGCCUUAGGGGGCGCGCGGCCUGCCCUAGGCAGCCCCUCUCUCUUUCCCGUAUGGCCCAAUAAGGCCCAAUACUUCUCCCGGCGAAUUCCCGUAACUCUGCGGUACUCCGAAAAAUACCCGAAUCACUCGGAACCUUUCCGAACUCCGAAUAUAGUUGUCCAAUAUAUCGAUCUUUACGUCUCAACCAUUUCGAGACUCCUCGUCAUGUCCCCGAUCUCAUCCGGGACUCCGAACUCCUUCGGUACAUCAAGACUUAUAAACUCAUAAUAAAACUGUCAUCGUAACGUUAAGCGUGCGGACCCUACGGGUUCGAGAACUAUGUAGACAUGACCUAGAACUAUUCUCGGUCAAUAACCAAUAGCGGAAUCUGGAUGCCCAUAUUGGUUCCUACAUAUUCUACGAAGAUCUUUAUCGGUCAAACCGCAUAACAACAUACGUUGUUCCCUUUGUCAUCGGUAUGUUACUUGCCCGAGAUUUGAUCGUCGGUAUCCAAUACCUAGUUCAAUCUCGUUACCGGCAAGUCUCUUUACUCGUUCCGUAAUGCAUCAUUCUGUAACCAACUCAUUUGGUCACAUUGCUUGCAAGGCUUAUAAAGAUGUGCAUUACCGAGAGGGCCCAAAGAUACCUCUCCGACAAUCGGAGUGACAAAACCUAAUCUCGAAAUAUGCCAACUCAACAUGUACCUUCGGAGACACCUAUAGUACUCCUUUAUAAUCACCCAGUUACGUUGUGAUGUUUGGUAGUACCCAAAGUGUUCCUCCGAUAAACGGGAGUUGCAUAAUUCUCAUAGUUACAGGAACAUGUAUAAGUCAUGAAGAAAGCAAUAGCAAUAUACUAAACGAUCAAGUGUUAGGCUAACGGAAUGGGUCAUGUCAAUCACAUCAUUCUCCUAAUGAUGUGAUCCCAUUAAUCAAAUGACAACACAUGUCUAUGGUUAGGAAACAUAACCAUCUUUGAUUAAUGAGCUAGUCAAGUAGAGGCAUACUAGUGACUGUAUGUUUGUCUAUGUAUUCACACAUGUAUCAUGUUUCCGGUUAAUACAAUUCUAGCAUGAAUAAUAAACAUUUAUCAUGAAAUAAGGAAAUAAAUAAUAACUUUAUUAUUGCCUCUAGGGCAUAUUUCCUUCAGUCUCCCACUUGCACUAGAGUCAAUAAUCUAGUUCACAUCGCUAUAUGAUUUAACACCAAUAUUCACAUCUGCAUGUGAUUAAUACCCAUAGUUCACAUCAUCAUGUGAUCAACACCAGGGUUUACUAGAGUCAAUAAUCUAGUUCACAUCGCUAUGUGAUUAACACCCAAAAGGUUUACUAGAGUCAAUAAUCUAGUUCACAUCGCUAUGUGAUUAACACCCAAAGGGUUUACUAGAGUCAAUAAUCUAGUUCACAUCGCUAUGUGAUUAACACCAAUAUUCACAUCUGCAUGUGAUUAAUACCCAUAGUUCACAUCAUCAUGUGAUCAACACCCAAAGGGUUUACUAGAGUCAAUAAUCUAGUUCACAUCGCUAUGUGAUUAACACCCAAAGGGUUUACUAGAGUCAAUAAUCUAGUUCACAUCGCUAUGUGAUUAACACCCAAAAGAGUACUAAGGUAUGAUCAUGUUUUGCUCGUGAGAGAAGCUUAGUCAACGGGUCUGUCAUAUUCAGAGCCGUAUGUAUUUCGCAAAUAUUCUAUGUCUAUAAUGCUCUGCACGGAGCUACUCUAGCUAAUUGCUCCCACUUUCAAUAUGUAUCCAGAUUGCGACUUAGAGUCAUCUGGAUCGGUGUAAAAGUUUGCACCGAUGUAACUUUUACGACGAGCUCUUUUAUCACCUCCAUAAUCGAGAAACAUCUCCUUAGUCCUCACUAAGGAUAUUCUUGACCGUUGUCCAGUAAUCUACUAUUAGAUCACUAUUGUAAUCCCUUGCCAAACCAGGGCAGAGUAUACAAUAGGUCUGGUCCACAGCAUGGCAUACUUUUAUAGAACCUAUGAUUGAAGCAUAGGGAAUGACUUUCAUUCUCUUUCUAUUUUCUGCCGUGGUCGAGAGUUGAGUCUUACUCAAUUUCAUACCUUUGCAACACAGGCAAGAACUCUUUCUUUGACUGUUCCAUUUUGAACUAUUUCAAAAUCUUGACAAGGUAUGUCCUUAUUGAAAAACUUAUCAAGCGUCUUGAUCUAUCUCAAUAGAUCUUGAUGCUCAAUAUGUAAGCAGCUUCACCGAGGUCUUUCAUUGAAAAACUUUUAUUCAAGUAUCCCUUUAUGCUAUCCAGAAAUUCUAUAUCAUUUCCAAUUAAUAAUAUGUCAUCUACAUAUAAUAUCAGAAAUGCUACAGAGCUCCCACUCACUCUCUUGUAAAUACAGGCUUCUUCAAAAGUCUGUAUAAAACCAUAUGCUUUGAUCAACUCAUCAAAGCGUAUAUUCCAACUCCGAGAUGCUUGCACCAGUCCAUUGAUGGAUUGCUGGAGCUUGCACACUUUGUUAGCAUCUUUAGGAUUGACAAAAACUUUCUGGUUGCAUCAUAUACAACUCUUCUUUAAUAAAUCCAUUACGGAAUGCAGUUUUGACAUCCAUUUGCCAGAUUUCAUAAAAUGUGGCAAUUGCUAACAUGAUUCAGACAGACUUAAGCAUCGCUGCAGUUGAGAAAAUCUCAUUGUAGUCAACACCUUGAACUUGUCGAAAAAACCUUUCACAACAAGUCGAGCUUUGUAGAUAGUAACACUACUAUCAGUGUCCGUCUUCCUCUUGAAGAUCCAUUUAUUUAACUUGACUUGCUGAUCAUCGAGAAAGUCAACCAAAGUCCACACUUUGUUCUCAUAUAUGGAUCCUAUCUCAGACUUUAUGGCCUCAAGCCAUUUCGCGGAAUCUGGGCUCAUCACGGCUUCCUCAUAGUUCGUAGGUUCAUCAUGGUCUAGUAACAUGACUUCCAGAACAGAAUUACUGUACCACUCUGGUGCGGAUCUUUCUCUGGAAGACCUACGAGGUUUUGUAGCAACUUGAUCUGAAGUUUCAUGAUCAUCAUCAUUAGCUUCCUCGCUAAUUGGUGUAGCAAUCACUGGAACUAAUUUCUGUGAUGAACUACUUUCCAAUAAGGGAGAAGGUACAAUUACCUCAUCAAGUUCUACUUUCCUCCCACUCACUUCUUUCGAGAGAAACUCCUUCUCUAGAAAAGAUCCAUUCUUAGCAACGAAUGUUUUGCCUUCGGAUCUGUGAUAGAAGGUGUACCCAACAGUUCCCUUUGGGUAUUCUAUGAAGACGCACUUCUCCGAUUUGGGUUCGAGCUUAUCAGGUUGAAAACCUUUUUCAUAUAAGCAUCGCAACUCCAAAUUUUAAGAAAUGACAGCUUAGGUUUACUGCUAAACCAUAGUUCAUACGGUGUCGUCUCAACGGAUUUAGAUGGUGCCCUUUUAACGUGAAUGCAGCUGUCUCUAAUGCAUAACCCCAAAACAAUAGUGGUAAAUCAGUAAGAGACAUCAUAGAUCGCACCAUAUCCAAUAAAGUGCGGUUACGACGUUCGGACACACCAUAACGUUGUGGUGUUCCAGGUGGCAUGAGUUUGUGAAACUAUUCCACAUUGUUUUAAUUAAAGACCAAACUCGUAACUCAAAUAUUUGUCUCCGUGAUCAAAUUGCAGAAACUUUAUUUUCUUUUUACGAUGAUUCUCCACUUCACUCUGAAAUUCUUUGAACUUUUCAAAUGUUUCAGACUUGUGCUUCAUUAAGUAGAUAUACUCAUAUCUACUCAAUUCAUCUUGUGAAGGUCAGAAAAUAACGAUACCCGCCACGAGCACCAACACUCAUUGGACCGCAUACAUCGGUAUGUAUUAUUUCCAAUAAGUCACUAGCUCGUUCCAUUGUUCUGGAGAACGGAGUUUUUAGUCAUCUUGCCCAAAAGGCACGGUUCGCAAGCAUCAAAUGAUUCAUAACCAAGUGAUUCCGAAAAUCCAUCUUUAUGGAGUUUCUUCAUGCGCUUUACACCGAUAUGACCCAAACGGCAGUGCCACAAAUAAGUUGUACUAUCAUUAUUAACUUUUCAUCUUUUGGCAUCAAUAUUAUGAAUAUGUGUAUCACUACGAUCGAGAUGCAACAAACUAUGUUCAUUGGGUGUAUGACCAUCGAAGGUCUUAUUCAUGUAAACAGAACAACAAUUAUUCUCUGACUUUAAAUGAAUAACCGUAUUGCAAUAAACAUGAUCAAAUCAUAUUCAUGCUCAACGCAAACACCAAAUAACAUUUAUUUAGGUUCUACACUAAUCUCGAAAGUAUAGGGAGUGUGCGAUGAUGAUCAUAUCAAUCUUGGAACUACUUCCAACACUCAUCGUCACUUCCCCCUCAACUAGUUUCUGUUUAUUCUGUAACUCCUGUUUCGAGUCACUAAUAUUUAGCAACCGAACAAGUAUCAAAUACUCAGGGGCUACUAUAAACACUAGUAAGGUACACAUCAAUAACCUGUAUAUCAAAUAUACCCUUGUUCACUUUGCCAUCCUUCUUAUCCACCAAAUAUUCGGGGUAUUUCCGUUUCCAGUGACCAUUUCCUUUGCAGUGUAAGCACUCAGUUUCAGGCUUUGGUUCAGCUUUGGGUUUCUUCGUGGGAGUGACAACUUGCUUGUCAUUCUACUUGAAGUUCCCCGUUCUUUCCCUUUGCCCUUUUCUUGAAACUAGUGAUCUUGUCAACCAUCAACACUUGAUGCUCUUUCUUGAUUUCUACCUUCGUUGAUUUCAACAUCACGAAGAGCUCGGGAAUCGUUUUCGUCAUCCCUUGCAUACUAUAGUUCAUCACAAAGUUCUACUAACUUGGUGAUGGUGACUAGAGAAUUCUGUCAAUCACUAUCUUAUCUGGAAGAUUAACUCCGACUUGAUUCAAGCGAUUGUAGUACCCAGACAAUCUGAGCACAUGCUCACUAGUUGAGCGAUUCUCCUCCAUCUUUUAGCCAUAGAACUUGUUGGAGACUUCAUAUCUCUCAACUCAGGUAUUUGCUCGAAAUAUUAACAUCAACUCCUGGAACAUCUCAUAUGGUCCAUGACGUUCAAAACGUCUUUGAAGUCCCGAUUGUAAGCCGUUAAGCAUGGUGCACUAAACUAUCAAGUAGUCAUCAUAUUGAGCUAGCCAAACGUUCAUAACGUCUGCAUCUGCUCCUGCAAUAGGUCUGUCACCUAGCGGUGCAUUAAGGACAUAAUUCUUCUGUGCAGCAAUGAGGAUAAACCUCAGAUCACGGAUCAAAUCCGCAUCAUUGCUACUCACAUCUUUCAACACAAUUUUCUCUAGGAACAUAUCAAAAUAAACAUAUGAAAGCAACAACGCAAGCUAUUGAUCUACAACAUAAUUUGCAAAAUACUGCCAGGACUAAGUUCAUGAUAAAUUAAAGUUCAAUUAAUCAUAUUACUUAAGAACUCCCACUUAGAUAGACAUCCCUCUAAUCUUCUAAGUGAUCACGUGAUCCAAAUCAACUAAACCAUGUCCGAUCAUCACGUGAGAUGGAGUAGUUUCAAUGGUGAACAUCACUAUGUUGAUCAUAUCUACUAUAUGAUUCACGCUCGACCUUUCGGUCUCCGUGUUCCGAGGCCAUAUCUGUAUAUGCUAGGCUCGUCAAGUAUGACCUGAGUAUUCCGCGUGUGCAACUGUUUUGCACCCGUUGUAUUUGAACGUAGAGCCUAUCACACCCGACCAUCACGUGGUGUCUCAGCACGAAGAACUUUCGCAACGGUGCAUACUCAAGGAGAACACUUCUUGAUUAUUAAGUGAGAGAUCAUCUUAAAAUGCUACCGUCAAUCAAAGCAAGAUAAGAUGCAUAAAGGAUAAACAUCACAUGCAAUCAAUAUAAGUGAUAUGAUAUGGCCAUCAUCAUCUUGUGCUUGUGAUCUCCAUCUUCGAAGCACCGUCGUGAUCACCAUCGUCACCGGCGCGACACCUUGAUCUCCAUCGUAGCAUCGUUGUCGUUACGCCAUCUAUUUCUUCUACGACUAUCGCUACCACUUAGUGAUAAAGUAAAGCAAUUACAGGGCGUUUGCAUUUCAUACAAUAAAGCGACAACCAUAUGGCUCCUGUCAGUUGCCGAUAACUUCAGUUACAAAACAUGAUCAUCUCAUACAAUAAAAUAUAGCAUCACGUCUUGACCAUAUCACAUCACAACAUGCCCUGCAAAAACAAGUUAGACGUCCUCUACUUUGUUGUUGCAAAUUUUACGUGGCUGCUACGGGCUUUAGCAAGAACCGUUCUUACCUACGCAUCAAAACCACAACGAUAGUUUGUCAAGUUGGUGCUGUUUUAACCUUCGCAAGGACCGGGCGUAGCCACACUAGGUUCAACUAAAGUGAGAGAGACAGACACCCGCCGGUCACCUUUAAGCAACGAGUGCUCACAGCGGUGAAACCAGUCUCGCGUAAGCGUACGCGUAAUGUCGGUCCGGGCCGCUUCAUCUCACAAUACCGCCGAACCAAAGUAUGACAUGCUGGUAAGCAGUAUGACUUGUAUCGCCCACAACUCACUUGUGUUCUACUCGUGCAUAUAACAUCAACGCAUAAAACCUGGCUCUAAUACCACUGUUGGGGAACGUAGUAAUUUCAAAAAAUUUCAUACGCACACGCAAGAACAUGGUGAUGGCAUAGCAACGAGAGGGGAGAGUGAUGUCCACGUACCCUCGUAGACCGCAAACGGAAGCGUUAACACAAUGCGGUUGAUGUAGUCGUACGUCUUCACGAUCCGACCGAUCCAAGUACCGAACGUACGGCACCUCCGAGUUCAGCACACGUUCAGCUCGAUGACGAUCCCCGGGCUCCGAUCCAGCAAAGCUUCGGGGAUGAGUUCCGUCAGCACAAUGGCGUGGUGACGAUGAUGAUGUUCUACCGGCGCAGGGCUUCGCCUAAACUCCGCGAUGAUAUGACCGAGGUGGAAUAUGAUGGAGGGGGGCACCGCACACGGCUAAUGAACGAUCCGUAGAUCAACUUGUGUGUUAUGGGGUGCCCUCCUGCCCCCGUAUAUAAAGGAGCAAGGGGGAGGGGGCGGCCGGCCAAGGGAGGGCGCGCCAGGGAGGAGUCCUACUCCCACCGGGAGUAGGACUCCCUCCUUUCCUAGUCCAACUAGGAGACCUUCCAUGUAGUAGGAGUAGGAGAGAAGGAAAGGGAAGAGAGAAGGGAAGGAAGGAGGGGGUGCGGCCCCUCCCCCUAGUCCAAUUCGGACUAGGCCUUGGGGGGGCGCGCGGCCUGCCCUAGGCAGCCCCUCUCUCUUUCCCGUAUGGCCCAAUAAGGCCCAAUACUUCUCCCGGCGAAUUCCCGUAACUCUCCGGUACUCCGAAAAAUACUCGAAUCACUCGAAACCUUUCCGAACUCCGAAUAUAGUCGUCCAAUAUAUCGAUCUUUACGUCUCGACCAUUUCGAGACUCCUCGUCAUGUCCCCGAUCUCAUCCGGGACUCCGAACUCCUUCGAUACAUCAAAACUCAUAAACUCAUAAUAUAACUGUCAUCGUAACGUUAAGAGUGCGGACCCUAAGGGUUCGAGAACUAUGUAGACAUGACCUAGAACUAUUCUCGGUCAAUAACCAAUAGCGGAACCUGGAUGCCCAUAUUGGUUCCUACUUAUUCUACGAAGAUCUUUAUGGGUCAAACCGCAUAACAACAUAUGUUGUUCCCUUUGUCAUCGGUAUGUUACUUGCCCGAGAUUUGAUCGUCGGUAUCCAAUACCUAGUUCAAUCUCGUUACCGGCAAGUCUCUUUACUCGUUCCGUAAUGCAUCAUUCCGUAACCAACUCAUUUGGUCACAUUGCUUGCAAGGCUUAUAAAGAUGUGCAUUACCGAGAGGGCCCAGAGAUACCUCUCCGACAGUCGGAGUGACAAAACCUAAUCUCGAAAUACGCCAACUCAACAUGUACCUUCGGAGACACCUGUAGUACUCCUUUAUAAUCACCUAGUUACGUUGUGACGUUUGGUAGUACCCAAAGUGUUCCUCCGGUAAACGGGAGUUGCAUAAUUCUCAUAGUUACAGGAACAUGUAUAAGUCAUGAAGAAAGCAAUAGCAAUAUACUAAACGAUCAAGUGCUAGGCUAACGGAAUGGGUCAUGUCAAUCACAUCAUUCUCCUAAUGAUGUGAUCCCAUUAAUCAAAUGACAACACAUGUCUAUGGUUAGGAAACAUAACCAUCUUUGAUUAAUGAGCUAGUCAAGUAGAGGCAUACUAGUGACUGUAUGUUUGUCUAUGUAUUCACACAUGUAUCAUGUUUCCGGUUAAUACAAUUCUAGUAUGAAUAAUAAACAUUUAUCAUGAAAUAAGGAAAUAAAUAAUAACUUUAUUAUUGCCUCUAGGGCAUAUUUCCUUCAUUUGCAUGAUAUCCUCAAGAAAGAUAGCUUCUCCUGGACUGAAUAACAAACUAGUGCCUUCCAACAGUUGAAACAGGCCAUGACAAAUGCCCCAGUGCUAGGCCUCCCAAAUUUUACUGAGCCUUUUGUGCUAGAAACAAAUGCUUCUGGAACUGGGAUUGGAGCAGUUAUGAUGCAGCAAGGAAAACCAAUAGCAUAUUACAGCUCCUCCCUCUGUCCAAAGAAUGCCGCCCUAUCCACUUAUGAGAAAGAAGCAUUAGCAAUCCUGGCUGCCUUAAAGAAAUGGAGGCACUACUUCCUGGGCAAUGAGCUCAUCAUAAAAACAGACCAUCAGAGCCUGUAAUUCAUGACAGAUCAGAAGGUCAACACCAGCAUACAACAUAAACUGAUGCUGCAGCUCCUUGAGUUUACCUUCACUCUGCAGUACAAAAAGGGCAAGGAAAACAGUGUGGCUGAUGCCCUCUCAACGAAACAUUCACUUAUGGCUAUUUCCCUGGUAACUCCACAGUGGAUCUCUGCAGUAGAAGAUUCAUAUGCCAAUGACAGCACUUGCAAAUCUCUCCUUGAAAAGCUCCUGCUGUCACCUGACCACUCAAUAAACGAAAACACUCUGCACUCUGGUAUUAUUCGACACAAAGGAAGAAUCUAUGUGGGCAAAGAUUUAGCUUUGAGAAAGAAAUUUCUGAAUGCACUUCAUGCCUCUGCUUUGGGAGGCCACUCAGGCAUGAAAGCUACAUAUCACAGAAUCAAGCAAAUCUUUUACUGGCCAGGCCUGAAACAAGAUGUGGACAAGUUUGUUUCUGAAUGCCCUGUCUGUCAGAAGAACAAGGGAGAGAAUUGCCCUUACCCAGGAUAUUUGGAUCCACUUCCUCUACCUGAUAUGGUUUGGACACACAUCAGCAUGGAUUUCAUUGAGGGCCUGCCUAAAUCUCAAGGCAAGGAUGUCAUUUUCGUGGUAGUUGACAGACUGUCCAAGUUUUCACACUUUAUUCCCCUGUCUCAUCCCUAUACUGCUCACACGGUGGCCACUGCAUUCAUCGACAAUGUACUGAAACUACAUGGCCCCCCACUGUCCAUUGUUUCUGACCGAGACUGCAUAUUCAUUAGUCAAGUUUGGCAAGAUAUGUUCAAGGGCAUGGGCACUGAACUGCGUUACAGUUCGGCUUACCACCCACAGUCAGAUGGUCAAACGGAACGCGUCAACCAGUGCAUUGAGAACUACCUGUGAUGCCUGACAUCAACACAACCCAAGAAGUGGGCCCAGCACCUAUCCAUGGCAGAAUACUGGUACAACACCUCGUACCAUUCUUCCCUUCAGAAAACUCCGUUUGAAGCAGCCUAUGGAUACCCACCUCCCAAUAUCUGUUAGAACAUUCUCCCGGAUAACCUGACAACCGAAGCUCAGCAGUUUUUCAAUGAUCGAGAUGCACAACUUCAACACCUGAAAACCAACUUAACUGCAGCUCAAGCACGCAUGAAGAAGUACGCAGAUUGUAAACGAACUGAAAGAGUUUUGGAAGUGGGCGACAUGGUGUAUCUCAAGAUGCAACCUUAUCGCCUGAAUGCGUUCGGUGCGCGCUCUCACAUCAAGUUACAAAGCAAGUACUACGGGCCCUUCCGUGUCACAACUAAAGUGGGGCGAGUGGCCUACAAACUCCUCUUACCUGAUGGCACCAACAUCCACCCGGUGUUUCACGUCAGCCAGCUGAAGAAGCAUAUCGGGCCCUCGGCUGUUCCGUGCGUCGAUCUUCCGCUGGUUCGAGCAGACGGUAUGAUACUGACUGAACCAGUCUUGGUUCUGGAGACUCGUCAGGUACCACGCAACAACCUGCCGGUGGUCCAGUGGCUCGUGAAAUGGGCAAACUUGCCACCCGAUGAAGCUUCCUGGGAGGACGCCACAUUCAUGAAGAAGACUUUUCCAGCGUUCUUCAAAGCGACCAUAGAUCGCUGGUUCAACAGAUCACCUUCUUGAGGACAAGUUCGGUUUCGCGCGGGAGCAUUGUCAGGCCUACAUCUUCAGUUGGCAGAGGAACCCCUUCUUCAGUUAUCGUCCGGCCCAGAUUCAUCCUCGUCCUGACGAUCCGACGGCUCGCGAUGCUCACUGUCUCACUGUACCGUUUCGGUUGUAAUCCUGUAGCGUUUCAUUCAUGCCACUGUAGCCGUCACCCUGUGCCAGCUGGGUUAUAAAGCUCGCUCCCAACGUCUUGUAAGCCAUCGAUUAUUGCUAAGGCCACUUUAUAAAUCAAACAUAUAUCUUACAGUAAUACUACAACCCUAGCGGGCGCCUACUUUCCCCUCCUGAUUUCGUGAUCUAGAUCGAAUCCACCACAGUUUCUCAAAUCAGGGUGUGACACUGUCGUGUGCACACCUUGAGAUCAUGGCCAGCACACGACUCAGGUCAUGGCUUGGUGCCUCAUAAACCUGUAUAAAUAUGCCAAAAUUGUACUGCAAGUUGCAUGGGUAGCAUUGGAGAAUCCACACGCUUGCUGUUGUCCCUCGCAGAGGUCCAGGAAAAAAAGUGUAGUGGUUCAGGAAAAACAGAGAGGAGCUGCUCUGUUAUUCAUUUAGUCAAUCUUUUGGCCUAUCUCCUUCUGUAUUAUGAUUUCCAUCUUGAGAAAAAAAAGGCAAAACAUGUAUAGCUGUAUGGUUUUUCUAUGUUUGCAAUUUCUUGUUUUGUGGAGAAUUAAAGGAUCGUGUAGGCUUGCCCUUGAAUCCAACUGUUUUUAGUUUUUUAGUGUCCAAGGAAAAUUCUUGAGACGACGGAAAUGAAUUGUACUCUCAAGAAAAGGUGGAAUACGAAUGGGAUGGAAAGCUAGAGCUACAACAGGUUGGCUGUCGAAACUCACAAAAUCCUUUUCAACAUUACAUGUUUUAUCAUUGCUAUCAAGUUUUGUUCUGGACUAUGGCUUUCUGAACAUCUUUUGCUUAAUCAGGCAGAGCAUAGUGGAGGGUCCGCUUCUACCUCACAUGACCUCUCCACCGCAUCAUAUAUGUUUUGCGGCUCUGUGGCUCCAUUAAUUGCAGUAAGGCGCUUGUGCCAUCCAUGUCUGAUUUGUGCAGCCAUCAUCUGUAGCAUUGGCUGGAGCCGUCAUCCGAAACAGUUUCACUGAUUCUCAGGUAAGCACCGUGAUUUUUCCAUGUGUUGAUUCAAUCCAGAAAAGUUAAGAUCACAAAUGCUCUUAGGAUUGAUUAAUGAAUUGAAUUACAAGAGUAUUGUCCGUCCAGACCUUUUUAGGGACCUUCUAGAAUCAAGAUUUGACACGAAACAAAUUGUUUUCUACUCCCUCCGUUCGGAAUUACUUGUCUCGGAAAUGGAUGUAUCUAGAACAUCUAGAUACAUCCAUUUCCGAGACAAGUAAUUCCGAACGGAGGGAGUAUGUUAUAUUGUCAUUGCUAACAUUGUUGAUCUCGAGCUGCAUCCUCCAUAAUAGUGACUUCAAAUCUGAGGCUGGCUAGAAGAACAUAUCUCCAUCAGCGUCGUUACCCCUCUGGAACAUUGUCAUGCUAGCCACCUGACGCUCGGCAUAUCCUCUCCCUCGUGGCAUCCAGCUUUGCUGCAGGGACCAAAAGGUGCUCCAUCACCGGAUUCAUCAUACUGGAAUCCUCUCUUCUUGUGUGGUUUAGUCAACUUUGUUUUCCUGUAUGCUACAGUUCGGGUCUAGAUCGAAGUCGGCUGAGCUGUUGGGUGGCUCUGAAGAUGUGUUUGUGUUAGAGAUUAGUUUACAUGCAAAGUAAGUUCUUUAAGAAAAGUAUUACUGCGCACCACUCCAAUUUGUUCCUUGAACUGAUAAGAUCUGGUCCAGUAGUACUGCUGCAAAUAUGAGGCAAGACGUUCUGCCUGUUUCUAUUAUCCCGCACAAUAAACAAUAUGUGUGUACUCACCAUAGUGGUGAAGCACAUACACUUCAACACUUCCGCUUCGGUACAACCCCCCUAAACACAAGAAGGGCUGAGAUUAAUCCGUACCCUUUCAUACUAAGGGGCAUGAUGGCCAUAUUUAAAUAAGUUUUUUUUUGAGUAACCGUUGUACCUAGCGUACGAACGCCUAACCGGCCAUGGGUGCGCGGCGGCCAGCCCAUUUAAUCCUUCUUUUACUGGCAACCCAGUAACAUCGAAAAAUUAUGCACGCAACGUGAUUCGAACUUGGAACUUCCGAUUCUAAUACACAAUGCAGUCACCAAUCGGGACAACUUACAUUGGUGUGUGGUUUCCAUUUUUCUGCUUCUUGUACACAACGAAGUAGCAUGCUUGGCCGGCCCAACAGGCCCGACGGCGUGUCGGCCCAUGGCCGCCGCAUUUUUAAUCCAUUUUAUUUUUUCGUUCUUUCAUUUUUUCCUUUCUUGAGUUUAUCUUUUUUCGUGCACAAUUUUCAGCAACUGUUGGGAAUUUGUUAGCAAUUUUCAUAAAAUUGUAAAUAUUUUAACAUUUUCAUAAAUAAUUUGAAAUUCCAAAAUUGUUGAUAAAUUAAAAAUAAAUGGUUAGAACAUAAAAAUUUGUUCAGGUUGGUUCAUAAUUAUCGAAAUUUCAUACAUGAAAUAAAAGAAGCAUUGAAUUUAAGAAAACUACGUGCUCACGGAUGCAAUCGUCUGGACUAGUCCUGCAACCUAUUCUUAACUGGUGUUUUUUUGCACUAUUGAUAAAUGACCCUAACUUUUUGCGGUAGCCUGGCAUGGACAUAAUAGGCAUCCAUGCCUGAUUCAAAUGAGUUGCGACACUGUUGGCAUGUUGCAACACGUGUGGCCAUUAUAUAGGAUGUUAUUCACCGAAAUAAUUAAAAAAUAUCAGAAACUUGUCUUAUGAAAGUACUUGUUGGCAUGGUGGCAUGAAAUGGUGAUACAUGGUGAUGGAAAAAAAUAGUUCAUUUGACGGAUGUCGAAAAAUGAGGUGUUCACGAAUAGACCCGAACACCCACUGUCUAACAUGUUUUUUUUUGUACACCCAGUGCAUGCCCAUGGUAGGCAUAUAUGUCUGAUUUGAAUGAAUUCGGGCACCGUUUGCAUGUUGCAAUAUGCCCGGCCAUUUAUCAGCCCUUUUUCACCGAGAAAACUUCAGAAAAUACAAAGCUUGUCGAAAACGGGAACAUCCUGGCAUGAUGGCAUGAAUUGGUGAUACAAGGUGAUGGGGAAAAAUUGAGGCCAUCUGGCGGAUGCAAAAUAUAAGGUGUUCACAAACAGACCCUUCUGGCCACCCGAACACCCUCUGUAUAACAUGGUUUUUGUUGUACAUGUGAUGAAUGACCCUAGAUUUUUCUACCAAUGGUGUGUGUGCCCAUAGUAGGCAUCCAUGCCUGGUUUGAAUGAAUUCGGACACCGUUUGCACGUUGCGACGCAUUUGGCUAUUUAUCGGCCUUUUCACCGAGAAAACCCCAGAAAAUACAUAACUUUUCGAAAGCGAAAAAAACCUGACAUGGUGGCAUGAAUUGGUGAUACAAGGUGAUGGAAAAAAAGUUCCUCGAUUUUCAAAAAGCUAAUGAAUUUUUAAAAAAUCAUGAGAUUUUAAAAAAUUUCAGGAAAUUUGGAACAAAAAUGAUCACAGAGAUUUGAAAAGAAAAACAAAAAUUAAAAAGCUGCAGGGAUUUGUAAAUUCACGAAUUUGACUAAAAAGGAAAAAAGGAAAAAAGAAACUAAAACCGGAAAAAAAGGAAAAUAAAUAAAUAAAUGACCGGCGAACAAAAAGUAAAAAAAAGUACACUGUACAACAAUAUGUAGGCUUCCCAGUUGGUUGUCGCAGGUAGUUGUGAACAUUGAGGUUUUUUGUUCGAAUCCCAUGUGGGCAUCCCUUUUUUGAACUCUAGGAAAAAAAAGUGUAGCAAAAGGAAAGUGUAAAAUGGGCCGGCCCACGAUGGAGGAGAGGCGGUCAGGACGUGCAAACGCGUACGUAUACGUCCCGAGACCCAUACAGAGGUGGGUAUACGUUCCUCUCAAAAGACCAUUAUGCCCUUAUACGUUUUGUGGAGGGGGGUUGUACCGAAGCGGGACUCACACUUCAAAUCAUCCAUUCUCUUGUUCCCCAAAAUAAAUUCAUUCGUUCUAACCAUUAGCCAUAUGAUUGUACAGAUAGACCAUAUAAAUGGGAUUCUUUCUGUAAAUAGAAAUCAACCUGAUUUGAUUAUGUUUCAUGUCCAUAAUAGUUUUCUCUUGGUAGAAAAAACAUAAACAUGUACAUACAGAUUAUAUUUCUGCUCAUUGCAAGAGGAUAUGAGGAUUUCUACUAUUAUACCGACAGAAUGAUAGCAUCACCUCAAGCAUGUAACCGUGGGAGUUAGUCCUUCAUUAAUGAUUUGGUAAGUUGUCCAUACUGCCUCGAGGGGGGAAGUUUUUAUCACUGCUUUUUGGUUGUAUUUAUGUAAGAGGCAUGGAGGGAGCUGGAACUAAUUUGUGAUUUCUCCUGGCCAUUUUUUUCUUCUAAAAAGAGAAAGUUUUCCGGUGAUCAAACAUUGUAGAUCAGAAAUGUUCUUCAUCGAUGCCCAUCCCAAUUGCUAACAAUUCUUUUGCACACUCAGGUUUGUGCUUUUCAGUGGUAAUUUACUAAACAUACUUUGGGUUAUGAUCCUUUGACAUACACUUAUGCCCUCCCCUACACAUUAUUUUUAGGUUGCCAAAUAUAGUACGAAGGAACUAUAGCAAGUGAAUUGUCGAGUUUGCCAAGCAUAAUGGCACACCUAAUUUUGGCAGAUCAUAUAAAGAGGAUAUCGAGCAAAGAUGCUUUGAGAUUUACCCAUGACUAUAUGCGGUUCCUAUAAACUCCUGUUGCAUGUUUAAUGAUUGCCACAAUAGUUUCUUUUAAUGCACCAGAGAAUUAUAUUUUUUGUAUCAGGUAAAUAAUUCUUUUCUCACUGUUAUUUUUCCAGAUCAAGAUCGAGAUAUAGACAAGGGGUAAUGGCAGCUCGUGCAGUGGCAGAGUGCUGGGGAGGCUGCCGGUGUCGUUGCUGAGAGCUGGGGAGGCUGCUGGUGCCAUGGCCGAGCGAUUGGGCGAGCUGCCGUGGUGGAUGUGGGAGAGCGACCAGUAAGGCAAGACAGAGUUGUGCUGUUGGUUAGGUCCAUGGCGAGGUGCCACGAGAUGGCAUCAGAUUUAUUGGAGGAUAUACAUGAUGACUAGGGUUGAGAAUAAUAUUGCUACUCCUGCAAUUUUGAAUCAUGUGUGAGAGGAUAGAACAGAGAAAAGGAAUAUGAGGCAAUUUUGUUUGCUAUAUGCUUUGUGUGCCGAUGCUUUUGUACGGAGAGAGACACUUCAUGUGAUGUUGCUAUGUGGCCUUCUAUGCUCUGAUGUGUGCUAACUUUGUACAAGGGACAUUCAUAUAUUGGAAUUCAAAU
This 19939-nucleotide long non-coding RNA is filed under the name Triticum aestivum (bread wheat). RNAcentral's name for it is "long non-coding RNA (TAES_LNC015887)". The stretch from base 15901 to 16007 matches the Rfam family "MIR1120/MIR1122 microRNA precursor family". The record is from RNAcentral. Lineage: Eukaryota; Viridiplantae; Streptophyta; Magnoliopsida; Poales; Poaceae.